CGAAAUGACUCGUUCGCUCCUUGCCUCGUUCCAGUUCGCACCGACGCCUCCACUCCUCGUCUCCUCGCACCGUUCCCAUAGGCACGCAACGCUCGCAGACACGCAGGCACGCAACGCUCGCAGACACGCAGGCACGCAGCGCUGCCGGAGGCCGAUGUCAACCGUCGGAGGCGACUCUCGCGGCGGCGCCUGGCCCCCCGUCCGCCCCUCCUCUUCAGCUUCGGAUGGAGCAGCAAUCGAGCAGGUACAAGCGACCCUGGCGGCGGUGCCCCGCCACCCGCACCGGCGGCGCCCGACCCCCGCCCGCCCCUCCUCUUCAGAAACAGAAGAUGAAGAGGAGUGGAAUUGUUGGCAGUAGCAUAUUUGCAAUGUGGGAAAAGGCUUCAAGGAAAGGAAAAUAGAUGAAGUAUCCACACCGAAUCAGACAGUAGCUGCAUCUAGUACUUGUACUUCUCCUGUUCAUUUUGAGAGCAAUUUGCAAUUGGUGUUAUGGCAAGAACCGGAGAGUAGAGGAGAAACCUCAACACCUCAUGUAGAAGAUGAUGAAUCUAUUGAUGAAGAUUAUGAACCGAUGCAAGCAGAUUUGGAGGCACUCGAACAUGAUCCUGGAAAGCGGAUUCCCAUCUCAGUGUAUGUUGUUAAUGACCAAGAUAGAGUAAGAAGGAGAUAUAUUGAGAUGGGGUCAUGUCAACCAAAGAAUCAUAAGUUCAAGUUUACAAAUAAAAGUGGAAAAGAGCGUCGAUUUUGCCGUGUUUGGUUUAAAGAAUUUCCGUGGAUUGAGUAUAGUGUGGAAAAACAUAGAGCUUUCUGCUUCGUUUGCUAUUUGUUCAAGGAUAAAACAAGAUGUCCCAGUGGAGAUGCUUUCGUGAAGAAGGGAUUUAAUAACUGGAACAUGAAGUCAAGAUUGAAGAAACAUGAAGGUGAGGUUAGUAGUGCUCAUGCUGAAGCUCAAGAGAAGUAUGAUAAGUUCACUACACCACAAACAUGAAUUCGGGAGUCUAUUGCUUCAAACACCUCACAAUACAAGGCUUUGUAUAAACAGCGUUUGACAUGGACACUCAAGUGUCUGAGAUUUCUGUUGCGCCAAGGCUUGACAUUUAGAAGACAUGAUGAAAGUGAAGACUCACUAAAUAAAGGAAAUUUCCUUGAGCUUCUAAAUUCGCUAGCAGGAAAUUUUGAAGAGGUUGACAGGGUUUGCAGGAUGACUCACCAUGAUAUAAACAAGAGGUGAUAAAAUGUUGUGCAUAAGAGACUACUAAACUAGCCAUUGAAGAACUUGAUGGUGGUCAUUUUGCAAUACUUGUAGAUGAGUCUAGUGAUGUGUAUCAGAAUGAACAGUUGGUUGUUUGCUUGCGUUAUGUUGAUAAGAAAGGAAGGGCGGUUGUAAGAUUUCUUGGUCUUGCUCAUGUUGAAGAUACUACCUCUUUGACACUAAAAGUUGCAAUUCAGAAAAUGCUUAUGGAAUACAAUUUGACCCUUGCAAUGGUUCAUGGGCAAGGAUAUGAUGGAACUAGUAAUAUGAGAGGUAAUGUUAAUGGCCUGAAAAAACUGAUUAUGGGUGAGUCUCCUUCUGCCUACUAUGUUCAUUGUUUUGCCCAUCCACUACAGUUAACUCUUGUUGCUGUUGCUAAGGAGAGUGGUGAUUGUACUUGGUUCUUUUAGCAGCUUGCACACUUGUUAAAUGCUCUUGGCAUGUCUUGUAAAAAGAUGAGAAUGCUUCGAAUAGCUCAGACUGAAGAACUCAUUGAUGCAUUGGAAUUGGAAGAGUAGAAACAGGGAGUGGCCUGAUCAGGAAAUGGGUUUGGGAAGGUCAUGUGAUACACGUUGGGGCUCUCACUUCAAAACUGUGAACCAUGUCAUCUCUAUGUAUGGUGCACUACGACGAGUCCUUCGCAAGAUUGGAGACUAGUACCAUGGUGCGGAGGCACAAGCGGCUCUAUCCAUAGAGACAAUAUUUCGAUCAUUUGAGUUUGUUUUCAUGGCACACUUGAUCCAAGAAAUAUUUGAACACACAGAUGAGUUGUGUAGAGCUUUGCAAAAGCAAGACGAAGAUAUUGUUCAUGCUAUUAAGCUUGUUGGUGACACAAAGUAUUACUUGAAGGCUUUGAGGACCGAUGCUGGAUGUGAUGAUUUUAUCACAAAGGUCACAUCUUUUUGUACAAAGCAUAACAUCAAAGUUGUUGAUAUGGAGGGUCCUUACUUUCCCGUUAGCCGGCCUAAAAAGGGUUUAUGUAAUGGUGCGACCAAUUACCACCACUUCAAGGUUGAUAUGUUUGUGGAUUUCAUUGAUAGGCAAACCAGUGAGCUAAAUGGCAGAUUUGAUGAGGUAAACACGUAGCUACUUUCUUGCAUGGCAGCAUUCUGUCCACUUCAUCUAUUUGCUGCUUAUGACGAAGAGAAGUUGGUUAGGCUUGCUACAAAGUUUUAUGCUUCUGAUUUUACAAGGGAUGAACUGGCAAGACUUCCAUGGCAACUAAACAUGUAUGUUACUAAUGUGCGUAGAGAUAAAAGGUUUCAAAAUCUGAAAAAUCUGUGUCAGCUUUUAGUUAUGCUUGUUGAGACAAACAAGCAUGAACAAUAUCAAAUUGUUUACAAGCUUCUUAAGUUGGUAUUGAUUCUGCCGGUAGCUACUGCUGGUGUUGAAAGGGUAUUAUCUUCAAUGAGCUAUGUGAAGAAUAAGUGAACAAAAUGGGUGAUGAAUAUUUGAACAAUUGUUUGGUUACAUUCGUUAAGAGAUAAUUUUUCAAUCAAGUGAAAGAUGAAGAUGUCAUCAAUUUAUUUCAAAAAGGCGACCGCAGAGUUAUAUUGUAAGAAGGAUAUCAUCACUUUAUUAAUCAAAAGGUACUUAUGUAUUUAUGUCGUUAUGGUCUGAUAUACUAAAAUAUUGCUAUUGCCGUUAUGCUAGUGUUGUUUUAUUCAUAUAUUGCUAGCGUUGUGUUGUUUAGUCCAUAUACUACAUUUAGAGAAAAAAGAAUUUGGAUGAAUACCCAGCCUUCAUUUCAUUUUAAUUCAUUUUCUUGAGGUCCGCGUUGGAGAUGCCCUAGAAGGUUGUAUUCUCACAAAAUCAACAUCGUAUCGCUGUGAAAGAGUUGGUAUAAUUUUGCACGUACAUUGUGGAAGAUUUUCCAUCACGUUGGCUCACUACUCUAUUUUACGUGUACAGAAAACCUAGUUUAUCUGUGAGCUGACUUCUGUGAUGAUUCAACGUCCACGCGUGGUAACGUAGACGCACGCAAUGCGCACGUCCUGUCCUGAGGAGGGCAAUGAGAGUACCAACAUAAACUAAUACAAUCCUCUUGGUAACACAUAAAUCGCAUUUGAAGAAAUAAGUGAAACAUUACUCAAGUACCAUAAGUUGCGCAAAACAUCACCGGAUGAAGUGAAAUAUUACUCAAGUACGUCAUAUAACAGCUGCAAUGAAACAUUACUCAAGUAGUAUGUCAUAUGACAGCUGCCGUUUACCGUGAAGAACAAUACAAGGAAAGAAAUGAAUUGAAGAAAAUCAGAGCCAAUUGAACUGAAGCUGGAUCUGCAGCUUCAGGAUUGUCUGAAAGAGCAGACAGCAAUGACACGCCACUGAAGUUCAGUUAGCAGAUGGAAACUCAAAAGGACUAGAUAAAGGAAAUGUCGUUAAGAGCUGCUAAUUUCCUCGUAUUCAGAA
Aegilops tauschii subsp. strangulata is the source of this 3661-nucleotide non-coding RNA. Lineage: Eukaryota; Viridiplantae; Streptophyta; Magnoliopsida; Poales; Poaceae. The record is from RefSeq and is a predicted model, not a curated record.